Molecule: long non-coding RNA, 177 nt
Organism: Triticum dicoccoides
Lineage: Eukaryota; Viridiplantae; Streptophyta; Magnoliopsida; Poales; Poaceae
Exons: 3
Source: RefSeq, a predicted model, not a curated record
AUAAGAGAUUGGACUGCAUUCAUUUCCACUGGUGAAUCAUUACAACAAUUGAAGUUGCGAGAGUGGGUUGCAACUUUUGCUGGUGCUCUGGCAUACUGUCACAAGAAGCAGUACUGUCAAAAGAAGCAGGUAAUUCACAUGGAUAUCAAGCCAGAAAGUUUGUCUACUGAUUUCGAG